RNAcentral lists this ribosomal RNA (934 nucleotides) under Ramaria stricta. RNAcentral describes it as "eukaryotic LSU rRNA". It matches the Rfam family "Eukaryotic large subunit ribosomal RNA", at positions 1 to 914 of the family's 3401-position model. The record is from RNAcentral. Lineage: Eukaryota; Fungi; Basidiomycota; Agaricomycetes; Gomphales; Gomphaceae.
CUGACCUCAAAUCAGGUAGGACUACCCGCUGAACUUAAGCAUAUCAAUAAGCGGAGGAAAAGAAACUAACAAGGAUUCCCCUAGUAACGGCGAGUGAAGCGGGAAGAGCUCAAAUUUGAAAUCUGGCGGUCUUCGGCCGUCCGAGUUGUAGUUUCGAGAAGCGUUUUCCGCGUCGGACCGUGUACAAGUCCCUUGGAACAGGGCGUCGUAGAGGGUGAGAAUCCCGUCUUUGACACGGACUGCCGGUGCUCUGUGAUGCGCUCUCAAAGAGUCGAGUUGUUUGGGAAUGCAGCUCAAAAUGGGUGGUAAAUUCCAUCUAAAGCUAAAUAUUGGCGAAAGACCGAUAGCGAACAAGUACCGUGAGGGAAAGAUGAAAAGCACUUUGGAAAGAGAGUUAAACAGUACGUGAAAUUGUUGAAAGGGAAACGCUUGAAGUCAGUCGCGUCUCUCGGGACUCAGCCUUGCUCUUCUGCUUGGUGCACUUCCCGAGGCGACGGGCCAGCAUCGAUUUCGACCGUCGGAGAAAGGCUUUGGGAACGUGGCACCUCCGGGUGUGUUAUAGCCCAUGGUCGUAUGCGACGGCUGGGAUCGAGGUUCGCAGCACGCCUUCAUUGGCCGGGGUUCGCCCACGUAACGUGCUUAGGAUGCUGGCGUAAUGGCUUUAAACGACCCGUCUUGAAACACGGACCAAGGAGUCUAACAUGCCUGCGAGUGUUUGGGUGGAAAACCCGGACGCGUAACGAAAGUGAAAGGUUGGGACCUCUGUCGUGGAGGGCACCGACGCCCGGACCAGACCUUCUGUGACGGUUCCGAGGUAGAGCAUGUAUGUUGGGACCCGAAAGAUGGUGAACUAUGCCUGAGUAGGGUGAAGCCAGAGGAAACUCUGGUGGAGGCUCGUAGCGAUUCUGACGUGCAAAUCGAUCGUCGAACUUGG